CCUACGGGUGGCAGCAGUGAGGAAUAUUGGUCAAUGGACGAGAGUCUGAACCAGCCAAGUAGCGUGAAGGAUGACUGCCCUAUGGGUUGUAAACUUCUUUUAUAUGGGAAUAAAAUGUUCCACGUGUGGGUUUUUGUAUGUACCAUAUGAAUAAGCAUCGGCUAACUCCGUGCCAGCAGCCGCGGUAAUACGGAGGAUCCGAGCGUUAUCCGGAUUUAUUGGGUUUAAAGGGUGCGUAGGUGGGUUGUUAAGUCAGUGGUGAAAGUUUGCGGCUGAACCGUAAAAUAGCAGUUGAAACUGGCAAUCUUGAGUGCAGGAGAGGUAGGCGGAAUGCGUGGUGUAGCGGUGAAAUGCUUAGAUAUCACGAAGAACUCCGAUUGCGAAGGCAGUUCACUGGACUGCAACUGACACUGAGGCUCGAAAGUGUGGGUAUCAAACAGGAUUAGAUACCCGUGUAGUC
Molecule: ribosomal RNA, 460 nt
Filed under: uncultured bacterium
Lineage: Bacteria
Description: partial 16S ribosomal RNA
Rfam family: Bacterial small subunit ribosomal RNA
Source: RNAcentral